This 84-nucleotide small nuclear RNA is filed under the name Cervus elaphus hippelaphus. The record is from RNAcentral. Lineage: Eukaryota; Metazoa; Chordata; Mammalia; Artiodactyla; Cervidae.
GUGCUCACUUCAGCAGCACAUAUACUAAAAUUGGAACGAUACAGAGAAGAUUAGCAUGGCCCCUGCGCAAGUAUGACAGGCCAA